RNAcentral lists this long non-coding RNA (369 nucleotides) under Pan paniscus (pygmy chimpanzee). RNAcentral describes it as "lncRNA (ENSPPAG00000044256.1)". Lineage: Eukaryota; Metazoa; Chordata; Mammalia; Primates; Hominidae. The record is from RNAcentral.
GGUAGGGAAUGGAAGGUUAACUUCACUUCCUGCUCUGUAGUCCCACGAACCAUGAAACAUGCACUAUCCUGGAAGGAAAUCAGACUGCCAUCUGAAUAUACCAGGCAGGAGAUGAUAGAAGGGCAGUCCAGAGUGGCACACCAAAGUAUUUCUGAUGCCAGAACUUCACCAUCAGAGACAGCAGUCCUCUUCCCUGGCCUGGACAAGAUCCCCAAGGUACAUAUCAGAAAUGAAGGCUGUCCUCAAGCUGCCACAAAACUGGAAGUGGAGAAUGAUACAAGAGUAAGUCAAAUCACCACAAACCUCUCUUAUCAACAGUCAGCUAUUUUCCUUGAUUUAGAGUUUUUCUCAUUAUUGUAAGCUUUUGAU